This 253-nucleotide ribosomal RNA is filed under the name uncultured bacterium. RNAcentral describes it as "partial 16S ribosomal RNA". It matches the Rfam family "Bacterial small subunit ribosomal RNA", at positions 524 to 776 of the family's 1533-position model. The record is from RNAcentral.
UACGAAGGGGGCGAGCGUUGUUCGGAUUUACUGGGCGUAAAGGGCGCGCAGGCGGCUAUCCAAGUCAGGCGUGAAAGCCCCGGGCUUAACCUGGGAGGUGCGUCUGGGACUGGGUGGCUAGAGUUCGGGAGAGGAGAGUGGAAUUCCCAGUGUAGAGGUGAAAUUCGUAGAUAUUCGCAAGAACACCAGUGGCGAAGGCGGCUCACUGGCCCGAUACUGACGCUGAGGUGCGAAAGCGUGGGGAGCAAACAGG